AAUUUCUCUCCCACUCGCUGCGCCCAUAUUCUCCCGCAACCCCCGCCCCGCGCCCCAACCUGAAUCCAGCCGGCCAGCCAACCCAGCGCGCCGGUGCCGCACCGGACCCCACAGGGACCCCGCGCGCCGCCGUCUCCGCCACCCAGCGCGCCUCCUUCACCGCCACCCCCACGUCUUCUUCGCCGCCACCAUCCAACGCACCGAUGCCACAACCACCACCCCACGAGAGGCACUGGCGCGCAUGAAUCCCACCGGAUCCCGACUGGAGUGGGCCGGCGACUUGCCCCUACCUCCCCUCACAUCCCGGAGACGGGCCACCCCUGCACCUCUGGGAGACGCGCAUCCCCCUGCCUCCUGCCGGUGCACCGCCUCCUGCACCUCCCGCCGACGAGCCGCCCCCUCCAGCUCCCUCUGACGUGCCGCUCCUCCACCUCCCGGUGAUGCACAGCCCAACCACCCCCCAGCAACGGCGCCCCCUGAUACCGGGCUCCCUUUAGCUGGCCACCGGAGCCGCACGCGGAGGAUUAGGUGAUGAGCGAGGUGCACCUGGCGGUGGCGGGCAGGUCAAGACGAGAGAAGCGAGACUGGGAGCGGCGACCUCGACGAAGAAGUCAACGGUGAAGUGAGAUCCCAAGGCCCCGGGUUGGAUACUUGGAUUAAGAGUGUUUUGAUGCGCUGGGGCUGUAAAUUGCCUGCACAAGGAUAUGCAGGGUGAAACAACCUACAAAAAAUGAUGUUACUGCCAUGGAGAUCGGUGUUGGGACAGGUGAUGGCUUGUUAUGAAAUUUAGUGAAUGAGAAAAUUGCUCUAUUGUUGUGCUUGUACAACUGUGUAAUUUUUCUGAUUUUUAUUUGUUUUUGUGAAGGUCAAAAUGUUGUGUCCGAGAAGUUCAAGUAUGUUACUUUAUACGGUAUUAUUGAGAAGCUCCAACUGGUUGUAGCAGUGCAUUGAGAAACAGAGUGAAAAACAUCUAUAAAAGAUGGAAGUUCAGGAGGAUCAAAAAAGAAAAAGAAGAAAGGAAAAGCUCACACUUCUGUCGUUGAUAUUUACAGCGACAAACAAG
This 1063-nucleotide ribosomal RNA is filed under the name Triticum aestivum (bread wheat). Its description in RNAcentral is "partial small subunit ribosomal RNA". Lineage: Eukaryota; Viridiplantae; Streptophyta; Magnoliopsida; Poales; Poaceae. The record is from RNAcentral.